This 310-nucleotide unclassified non-coding RNA is filed under the name plant metagenome. Its description in RNAcentral is "partial contains 5.8S ribosomal RNA, internal transcribed spacer 2, and large subunit ribosomal RNA". The stretch from base 1 to 105 matches the Rfam family "5.8S ribosomal RNA", at positions 50 to 154 of the family's 154-position model. The record is from RNAcentral.
GAAAUGCGAUAAGUAGUGUGAAUUGCAGAAUUCAGUGAAUCAUCGAAUCUUUGAACGCACAUUGCGCCCCUUGGUAUUCCAUGGGGCAUGCCUUUUCGAGCGUCAUUUGUACCCUCAAGCUCUGCUUGGUGUUGGGUGUUUGUCCCCGUCUCCGCGCGUGGACUCGCCCCAAAGUGAUUGGCAGCCGGCGUACUGGUCCCGGAGCGCAGCACAUGUCGCGCAAACGAGUGCCUUGGUACGGCGGCGUCCAUAAGCCCCUCUCUCACGCUCUUGACCUCGGAUCAGGUAGGGAUACCCGCUGAACUUAAGC